This 572-nucleotide ribosomal RNA is filed under the name Chaetomium sp. 3 JAS-2013. RNAcentral describes it as "eukaryotic LSU rRNA". The stretch from base 178 to 331 matches the Rfam family "5.8S ribosomal RNA". Lineage: Eukaryota; Fungi; Ascomycota; Sordariomycetes; Sordariales; Chaetomiaceae. The record is from RNAcentral.
AGGGAUCAUUAAAGAGUUGCAAAACUCCCUAAACCAUUGUGAACAUACCUUCAACGUUGCUUCGGCGGGUUGGCUCCGGGUCUCCCGGGGCCCCCGGCCCUACCCGGGCGCCCGCCGGAGGUAUCUAACUCUUGACAAUUGUAUGGCCUCUCUGAGUCUUUGUACUUAAUAAGUCAAAACUUUCAACAACGGAUCUCUUGGUUCUGGCAUCGAUGAAGAACGCAGCGAAAUGCGAUAAGUAAUGUGAAUUGCAGAAUUCAGUGAAUCAUCGAAUCUUUGAACGCACAUUGCGCCCGCCAGUAUUCUGGCGGGCAUGCCUGUUCGAGCGUCAUUUCAACCAUCAAGCCCCCGGCUUGUGUUGGGGACCUGCGGCUGCCGCAGGCCCUGAAAACCAGUGGCGGGCUCGCUAGUCACUCCGAGCGUAGUAAUACAUCUCGCUCAGGGCGUGCUGCGGGUUCCGGCCGUUAAAAAGCCUUAUUUACCCAAGGUUGACCUCGGAUCAGGUAGGAAGACCCGCUGAACUUAAGCAUAUCAAUAAGCGGAGGAAAAGAAACCAACAGGGAUUGCCCCAA